GAUGAACGCUGGCGGCGUGCCUAAUACAUGCAAGUCGAACGAAACUUCUUUAUCACCGAGUGCUUGCACUCACCGAUAAAGAGUUGAGUGGCGAACGGGUGAGUAACACGUGGGCAACCUGUCCAAAAGAGGGGGAUAACACUUGGAAACAGGUGCUAAUACCGCAUAACCAUAGUUACCGCAUGGUAACUAUGUAAAAGGUGGCUAUACUACCGCUUUUGGAUGGGCCCGCGGCGCAUUAGCUAGUUGGUAGGGUAAAGGCUUACCAAGGCAAUGAUGCGUAGCCGAAUUGAGAGGUUGAUCGGCCACAUUGGGACUGAGACACGGCCCAAACUCCUACGGGAGGCAGCAGUAGGGAAUCUUCCACAAUGGGCGAAAGCCUGAUGGAGCAACGCCGCGUGGGUGAAGAAGGUCUUCGGAUCGUAAAACCCUGUUGUUAGAGAAGAAAGUGCGUGAGAGUAACUGUUCACGUUUCGACGGUAUCUAACCAGAAAGCCACGGCUAACUACGUG
This 512-nucleotide ribosomal RNA is filed under the name uncultured bacterium. RNAcentral's name for it is "partial 16S ribosomal RNA". It matches the Rfam family "Bacterial small subunit ribosomal RNA", at positions 28 to 507 of the family's 1533-position model. The record is from RNAcentral.